GAGCCCUUUUAAGAGGCUAACACAGAAGGGUAAAGGAACGCUCCAUAAAACCAGAGAGGAAAACUACACCUCCUCGUUGGAUCCUGUCUGGAGUCACAGAU
This is a non-coding RNA of Arvicanthis niloticus (Nile rat), 101 nucleotides long. NCBI's taxonomy places the organism in Eukaryota, Metazoa, Chordata, Mammalia, Rodentia, Muridae. The record is from RefSeq and is a predicted model, not a curated record.